RNAcentral lists this long non-coding RNA (671 nucleotides) under Bos indicus x Bos taurus (hybrid cattle). RNAcentral's name for it is "lncRNA (ENSBIXG00005019424.1)". Lineage: Eukaryota; Metazoa; Chordata; Mammalia; Artiodactyla; Bovidae. The record is from RNAcentral.
CUAGCACGUUUGUAUUCUUGAGAAAGUGGACAUUUGUGUUGUUGGGUCUGUGAUUUUCCAUCUGGCUUUGACUUUGGUCUGCUGACUUCUUUGACUCCACCCUUGACUGGAAGGACUGCCUCAUGGGACCUGCAGAUCAGAAUUAUGCUAACUAGGCUGCUGAGUGCCAGUUUGCCUGCCUGUGACGCCUCACUGUAAGAAUCCUGCCAGGCAAAUUGUCCACACCCGGAUCCCAUUCAGUCCUUUGAGAACAUGAAGAUAAAACCAAAACCACCUUGGAUUCCAUGAAAUAGCUUUCACAACCUCAGAAUCCCAUUUAUCCAUCCAUUUCAUUAAACAACUCACUGAGACACGACACAGCGUGGUACCGUGGGGUUGCUGUGGACUAGAGGUGGUGCCUGGUGGAAGCACUGAGCAUGCCUGAAAGAAGUAAUGGUGCCUGGUGGAUGGACAGGAUUCACAUGCACAUGAAGACAUGGGCAGAAGGAAGAACCGUCUGUGAGUGGGAUGCCUGGGACUCCAUGUCACCUUCCAUUGCUCCCUGUCUACAUGUCUUUGCCUGAGGUUUUCUCUGAAGCUGUGGAAGCCUGCAGCUCCGAGAAUUCAUACCCAAGGAGGAUCUCACAAACAAUGACUGAAGGGAAUUUGUAAAUAAAUACCUCAGCUCCCUC